UGGGGAAUUUUGGACAAUGGGGGAAACCCUGAUCCAGCCAUCCCGCGUGUGCGAUGAAGGCCUUCGGGUUGUAAAGCACUUUUGGCAGGAAAGAAACGUCAUGGGUUAAUACCCCGUGAAACUGACGGUACCUGCAGAAUAAGCACCGGCUAACUACGUGCAAGCAGCCGCGGUAAUACGUAGGGUGCAAGCGUUAAUCGGAAUUACUGGGCGUAAAGCGUGCGCAGGCGGUUCGGAAAGAAAGAUGUGAAAUCCCAGAGCUCAACUUUGGAACUGCAUUUUUAACUACCGGGCUAGAGUGUGUCAGAGGGAGGUGGAAUUCCGCGUGUAGCAGUGAAAUGCGUAGAUAUGCGGAGGAACACCGAUGGCGAAGGCAGCCUCCUGGGAUAACACUGACGCUCAUGCACGAAAGCGUGGGGAGCAAACAGG
This 429-nucleotide ribosomal RNA is filed under the name Acidobacteriota bacterium. RNAcentral's name for it is "Acidobacteria bacterium partial 16S ribosomal RNA". It matches the Rfam family "Bacterial small subunit ribosomal RNA", at positions 355 to 776 of the family's 1533-position model. Lineage: Bacteria; Pseudomonadati; Acidobacteriota. The record is from RNAcentral.